This 493-nucleotide ribosomal RNA is filed under the name uncultured bacterium. RNAcentral's name for it is "partial 16S ribosomal RNA". It matches the Rfam family "Bacterial small subunit ribosomal RNA", at positions 28 to 506 of the family's 1533-position model. The record is from RNAcentral.
GACGAACGCUGGCGGCGUGCUUAACACAUGCAAGUCGAACGGAAAGGCCUGCUUUCCCUUGUGGAUUGCGGGUACUCGAGUGGCGAACGGGUGAGUAACACGUGAGUGAUCUGCCCCCAACUUGGGUAUAAGCCUGGGAAACUGGGUCUAAUUCCCGAUAGGACUGCAGGGUGGUGCCUGUGGUGGAACACGAUUUUCUAGUGGUUGGGGAUGAGCUCGCGGCCUAUCAGCUUGUUGGUGGGGUAAUGGCCUACCAAGGCGGCGACGGGUAGCCGGCCUGGGAGGGUGGACGGCCACAUUGGGACUGGGAUACGGCCCAGACUCCUACGGGAGGCAGCAGUGGGGAAUAUUGCACAAUGGGCGGAAGCCUGAUGCAGCGACGCCGCGUGGGGGAUGACGGCCUUCGGGUUGUAAACUCCUUUCGACCGCGAGGAAGCCACCUGGUUGGAAGGGUGGUGACGGUAGUGGUAGAAGAAGCACCGGCUAACUACGU